Molecule: unclassified non-coding RNA, 342 nt
Filed under: uncultured Inocybe
Lineage: Eukaryota; Fungi; Basidiomycota; Agaricomycetes; Agaricales; Cortinariaceae
Description: sequence contains ITS1
Rfam family: 5.8S ribosomal RNA (bases 1-105)
Source: RNAcentral
GAAAUGCGAUAAGUAAUGUGAAUUGCAGAAUUCAGUGAAUCAUCGAAUCUUUGAACGCAUCUUGCGCUCCUUGGUAUUCCGAGGAGCAUGCCUGUUUGAGUGUCAUUUAACUUCUCAACCACAUCAGAGAUGUGGCUUGGACGUGGGGGUUGUUUGCAGGCUUUUUGUUCUACUGAAGGUCGGCUCCCCUGAAAUGUAUUAGUGGUAUCUGGGCUACUGCUAUAGGUGUGAUAAAUUAUCUAUGCCUUUGGUAUGCUGCAUGAACAGAUUGCGCUGCUUAUAACAAAGAUUGAAUCUGACAAAUUUGACCUCAAAUCAGGUAGGACUACCCGCUGAACUUAA